Molecule: ribosomal RNA, 806 nt
Filed under: uncultured bacterium
Lineage: Bacteria
Description: bacterial SSU rRNA
Rfam family: Bacterial small subunit ribosomal RNA
Source: RNAcentral
GCAGUCGAACGAGGUGCUUUUGUAGCAAUACGAGAGUAUCCUAGUGGCGAACGGGUGAGUAACGCGUUGGUGACCUACCCCAAAGUGUGGGAUAACAGUCCGAAAGGAUUGCUAAUACCGCAUGUGGUCUUCGGAUUUAGAAACUGAUGACUAAAGGAGCAAUUCGCUUUGGGAGGGACCUGCGUCCCAUCAGCUAGUUGGUGAGGUAAUGGCUCACCAAGGCUACGACGGGUAGGGGACCUGAGAGGGUGACCCCCCACAAUGGAACUGAAACACGGUCCAUACACCUACGGGUGGCAGCAGUAGGGAAUAUUGCACAAUGGGCGAAAGCCUGAUGCAGCAACGCCGCGUGUGCGAUGAAGGCCUUCGGGUCGUAAAGCACUUUUCUGGGAGAUGAGCAAGGACAGUAUCUCAGGAAUAAGUCUCGGCUAACUACGUGCCAGCAGCCGCGGUAAAACGUAGGAGGCAAGCGUUAUCCGGAUUCACUGGGCGUAAAGCGCGUGCAGGCGGUUCGGUAAGUUGGGCGUGAAAUCUCCUGGCUUAACUAGGAGAGGUCGUUCAAUACUACCGGACUUGAGAGUGAUAGAGGAAGAUGGAAUUCCCGGUGUAGUGGUGAAAUGCGUAGAUAUCGGGAGGAACACCAGUGGCGAAAGCGAUCUUCUGGAUCAUUUCUGACGCUCAGACGCGAAAGCUAGGGUAGUAAACGGGAUUAGAGACCCCGGUAAUCCUAGCCGUAAACGAUGUAAACUUGGCGUCGGCGGCUUAAACUCCGUCGGUGCCGCAGCUAACGCGAUAAGUUUACCGCC